Molecule: unclassified non-coding RNA, 200 nt
Filed under: soil metagenome
Description: partial contains internal transcribed spacer 2 and large subunit ribosomal RNA
Source: RNAcentral
UCACCUCUCAAGCCUGGCUUGCUGUUGGACUUUAGGUCUUGCUUUAGCUAUGACCAGUCUUAAAGAUAAUGAGGCGUCUGUGAGGACCCCUGUACACUGAGCUUUUAUAGCACGUACUAGGCGGGAGUCCAGGCCCGGUCUUACCCAUUUUUACUUAAAAGGUUGACCUCGGAUCAGGUAGGAAUACCCGCUGAACUUAA